AUUCGAUUAGAGUUUGAUCAUGGCUCAGAACGUACGCUGGCGGCACGCCUAACACAUGCAAGUCGAACGCAGUAGCAAUACUGAGUGGCAAACGGGUGAGUAUAAUGUAGGAAUCUGCCUUUUGGUUUGGAAUAACACGGGGAAACUUGUGCUAAUACCGAAUAAGCCUUCACAGGGAAAGUUUUAAUGCCGAAAGAUGAGCCUGCACUUGAUUAGCUAGUUGGUAAGGUAAAAGCUUACCAAGGCAACGAUCAAUAGCUGUUCUUAGAGGAAGACCAGCCACAUUGGGACUGAGACACGGCCCAGACUCCUACGGGAGGCAGCAGUGGGGAAUCUUGCACAAUGGGGGAAACCCUGAUGCAGCGAUGCCGCGUGAGUGAAGAAGGCCCUUGGGUUGUAAAACUCUUUCGUCGGGGAAGAAAAUGACUGUACCCGAAUAAGAAGGUCCGGCUAACUUCGUGCCAGCAGCCGCGGUAAUACGAAGGGACCUAGCGUAGUUCGGAAUUACUGGGCUUAAAGAGCUCGUAGGUGGUUAAAAAAGUUGAUGGUGAAAUCCCAAGGCUCAACCUUGGAACUGCCAUCAAAACUUUUUAGCUAGAGUGUGAUAGAGGUAAGUGGAAUUUCUAGUGUAGAGGUGAAAUUCGUAGAUAUCGAGAGGAACACCAGUGGCGAAGGCGAGUCUCUGGACGAUUCCUGACACUGAGGCACGAAAGCUAGGGGAGCAAACAGGAUUAGAUACCCUGGUAGUCCUAGCCGUAAACGGUGCACACUUGCUGUAGGAGGAUUCGACCCCUUCUGUGGCGGAGCAAACGCGUUAAGUGUGCCGCCUGGGGAGUACGGUCGCAAGAUUAAAACUCAAAGAAAUUGACGGGGGCCUGCACAAGCGGUGGAGUAUGUGGCUUAAUUCGAUGCAACGCGAAGAACCUUACCUGGCCUUGACAUGCAUCUCUAAGCGUGUGAAAGCACGUGACCCCUCGGGGAAUUUGCACAGGUGCUGCAUGGCUGUCGUCAGCUCGUGUCGUGAGAUGUUGGGUUAAGUCCCGCAACGAGCGCAACCCUUGUGUCCUGUUGCCACUUCCGCUAGCGCGGAAAGCACUCUGGACAGACUGCCUCGUCUCAACGAGGAGGAAGGUGGGGAUGACGUCAAGUCAGUAUGGCCCUUACGGCCAGGGCUGCACACGUACUACAAUGCCUGGUACAAUGGGAAGCAAUACCGUGAGGUGGAGCAAAUCCUCAAAACCAGGCCCAGUUCAGAUUGUAGUCUGCAACUCGAGU
RNAcentral lists this ribosomal RNA (1275 nucleotides) under uncultured bacterium. RNAcentral describes it as "partial 16S ribosomal RNA". It matches the Rfam family "Bacterial small subunit ribosomal RNA", at positions 1 to 1317 of the family's 1533-position model. The record is from RNAcentral.